ACUCCUACGGGAGGCAGCAGUCGGGAAUAUUGGACAAUGGGCGAAAGCCUGAUCCAGCAAUACCGCGUGUGUGAAGAAGGCCUGCGGGUUGUAAAGCACUUUCAGUUGGGAAGAUAAUGACGUUACCAACAGAAGAAGCACCGGCUAACUCCGUGCCAGCAGCCGCGGUAAUACGGAGGGUGCAAGCGUUAAUCGGAAUUACUGGGCGUAAAGCGCACGUAGGCGGUUUACUAAGUCGGAUGUGAAAUCCCCGGGCUCAACCUGGGAACUGCACCCGAUACUGGUAGACUAGAAUUUGGGAGAGGUGAGUGGAAUUUCCGGUGUAGCGGUGAAAUGCAUAGAGAUCGGAAGGAACACCAGUGGCGAAGGCGACUCACUGGACCAAAAUUGACGCUGAGGUGCGAAAGCGUGGGUAGCAAACAGGAUUAGAUACCCUGGUAGCGUCGUCU
This 449-nucleotide ribosomal RNA is filed under the name uncultured bacterium. RNAcentral's name for it is "bacterial SSU rRNA". It matches the Rfam family "Bacterial small subunit ribosomal RNA", at positions 335 to 802 of the family's 1533-position model. The record is from RNAcentral.